AGAGUUUGAUCCUGGCUCAGGACGAACGCUGGCGGCGUGCGUAAUACAUGCAAGUAGAACGCUGAAGAGAGGAGCUUGCUCUUCUUGGAUGAGUUGCGAACGGGUGAGUAACGCGUAGGUAACCUGCCUUGUAGCGGGGGAUAACUAUUGGAAACGAUAGCUAAUACCGCAUAACAAUGGAUGACACAUGUCAUUUAUUUGAAAGGGGCAAUUGCUCCACUACAAGAUGGACCUGCGUUGUAUUAGCUAGUAGGUGAGGUAAUGGUUCACCUAGGCGACGAUACAUAGCCGACCUGAGAGGGUGAUCGGCCACACUGGGACUGAGACACGGCCCAGACUCCUACGGGAGGCAGCAGUAGGGAAUCUUCGGCAAUGGGGGCAACCCUGACCGAGCAACGCCGCGUGAGUGAAGAAGGUUUUCGGAUCGUAAAGCUCUGUUGUAAGUCAAGAACGGGUGUGAGAGUGGAAAGUUCACACUGUGACGGUAGCUUACCAGAAAGGGACGGCUAACUACGUGCCAGCAGCCGCGGUAAUACGUAGGUCCCGAGCGUUGUCCGGAUUUAUUGGGCGUAAAGCGAGCGCAGGCGGUUUGAUAAGUCUGAAGUUAAAGGCUGUGGCUCAACCAUAGUUCGCUUUGGAAACUGUCAAACUUGAGUGCAGAAGGGGAGAGUGGAAUUCCAUGUGUAGCGGUGAAAUGCGUAGAUAUAUGGAGGAACACCGGUGGCGAAAGCGGCUCUCUGGUCUGUAACUGACGCUGAGGCUCGAAAGCGUGGGGAGCGAACAGGAUUAGAUACCCUGGUAGUCCACGCCGUAAACGAUGAGUGCUAGGUGUUGGAUCCUUUCCGGGAUUCAGUGCCGCAGCU
RNAcentral lists this ribosomal RNA (863 nucleotides) under uncultured bacterium. RNAcentral describes it as "bacterial SSU rRNA". It matches the Rfam family "Bacterial small subunit ribosomal RNA", at positions 8 to 853 of the family's 1533-position model. The record is from RNAcentral.